GACGAACGCUGGCGGCGUGCUUAACACAUGCAAGUCGAACGGAAAGGCCCUGCUUUUGUGGGGUGCUCGAGUGGCGAACGGGUGAGUAACACGUGAGUAACCUGCCCUUGACUUUGGGAUAACUUCAGGAAACUGGGGCUAAUACCGGAUAGGAGCUCCUGCUGCAUGGUGGGGGUUGGAAAGUUUCGGCGGUUGGGUAUGGACUCGCGGCUUAUCAGCUUGUUGGUGGGGUAGUGGCUGACCAAGGAUUUGACGUGUAGCCGGCCUGUGAGGGUGUCAGGCGACAAUGGGACUAAGAUACUGACCAGAGCCGUACAGGAGGCAGCAGUGGGGAGUAUUGCAGAAUGGGCGGAAGCCUGUUGCAGCAACGCCGCGUGCGGGAUUACGGCCUUCGGGUUGUAAACCGUUUUCGCUUGUGACGAAGCGUGAGUGACGGUACUGGGUAAAGAAGCACCGGCUAACUACGUG
Molecule: ribosomal RNA, 468 nt
Filed under: uncultured bacterium
Lineage: Bacteria
Description: partial 16S ribosomal RNA
Rfam family: Bacterial small subunit ribosomal RNA
Source: RNAcentral